RNAcentral lists this ribosomal RNA (3920 nucleotides) under Clostridioides difficile. RNAcentral's name for it is "bacterial LSU rRNA". It matches the Rfam family "Bacterial large subunit ribosomal RNA". The record is from RNAcentral. Lineage: Bacteria; Bacillati; Bacillota; Clostridia; Peptostreptococcales; Peptostreptococcaceae.
UCAAGUUAUUAAGGGUGCAGGGCGGAUGCCUUGGCACUAGGAGCCGAUGAAGGACGUGAUAAGCUGCGAUAAGCUUCGGGGAGUUGCACGUAAACUUUGAUCCGAAGAUUUCCGAAUGAGGAAACUCACUUAGAGUAAUGUCUAAGUAUCAUUAAGUGAAUACAUAGCUUAAUGAGGGGAACUCAGGGAACUGAAACAUCUAAGUACCUGAAGGAAGAGAAAGAAAUUCGAUUCCGUAAGUAGCGGCGAGCGAACGCGGAUUAGCCCAAACCAAUAAAGUUUUCUUUAUUGGGGUUGAGGACAUACCACAUAUAAGAGGUCAUUAUAGACGAAGAAGUUUGGAAAAACUCAUCAUAGAAGGUAAUAAUCCUGUAGUCAAAAUAAUAAUUCUUUAGGUAUGAUCCAGAGUACCACGGGACACGUGAAACCCUGUGGGAAGCAGGAGGGACCACCCUCCAAGGCUAAAUACUACCUAGUGACCGAUAGCGUAUAGUACCGUGAGGGAAAGGUGAAAAGAACCCCGGGAGGGGAGUGAAAUAGAACCUGAAACCCUGCACUUACAAGCUGUGGAAGCACAUUUCUUGUGUGACCGCGUACUUUUUGUAGAACGGGCCAACGAGUUACGUUAAGUAGCAAGGUUAAGCACUUAAGGUGCGGAGCCGUAGCGAAAGCGAGUUUUAACUGAGCGUUCAGUUACUUGACGUAGACCCGAAACCGGGCGACCUACCCAUGAGCAGGAUGAAGCGAAAGUAAAAUUUCGUGGAGGUCCGAACCCACGAGCGUUGAAAAGCUCGGGGAUGACUUGUGGGUAGCGGUGAAAUUCCAAUCGAGCCCGGAGAUAGCUGGUUCUCCCCGAAAUAGCUUUAGGGCUAGCCUCAAGGUGAGAGAUACGGAGGUAGAGCACUGAAUGUCCUAGGGGGUAUUGCACCUACCGAAGACUAUCAAACUCCGAAUGCCGUCAUCUUAUACUUGGGAGUCAGACUGUGGGUGAUAAGAUUCAUAGUCGAAAGGGCAACAGCCCAGAUCGUCAGCUAAGGUCCCUAAAUGUAAGUUAAGUGGUAAAGGAUGUGGGAUUGCACAGACAACCAGGAUGUUGGCUUAGAAGCAGCCACUCAUUCAAAGAGUGCGUAAUAGCUCACUGGUCGAGUGAUCCUGCGCCGAAGAUUUCCGGGGCUAAAACUUACUACCGAAGCUACGGCAUCAGUAAUGAUGGGUAGGGGAGCUUCCCAUACGGGUUGAAGCAUGACCGUAAGGACAUGUGGACAGUAUGGGAGUGAGAAUGUUGGCAUGAGUAGCGAGAUGUGGGUGAGAAUCCCACAGGCCGUAAACCCAAGGUUUCCAGGGGAAGGUUCGUCCGCCCUGGGUUAGUCGGGACCUAAGCUGAGGCCGAAAGGCGUAGGUGAUGGACAACAGGUUGAUAUUCCUGUACUACCGAUAACCGUUUGAGAGAAGGGAUGACACAGUAGGAUAAGCUAAGCACACUGUUGGUUAUGUGUGCCCAAGCAUUGAGGCAGUCAAAGCAGGCAAAUCCGCUUUGAUAAUGCUGGGAUGUGAUGGGGAGCGAAAUUUAGUAGCGAAGUAGCUGAUUUCACACUGUCAAGAAAAGUCUCUAUCGAGGUUAAAGGUACCCGUACCGCAAACCGACACAGGUGGGUGAGGAGAGUAUCCUAAGGCCAGCGAGAGAACUGUUGUUAAGGAACUCGGCAAAAUGACCCCGUAACUUAGGGAUAAGGGGUGCCACCAUCCGGUGGCCGCAGAGAAUAGGCCCAAGCGACUGUUUACCAAAAACAUAGGUUUCUGCUAAGUCGCAAGACGAUGUAUAGGAGCUGACGCCUGCCCGGUGCUGGAAGGUUAAGGGGAUCUGUUAGAGCAAUCGAAGCAGUGAACUUAAGCCCCAGUAAACGGCGGCCGUAACUAUAACGGUCCUAAGGUAGCGAAAUUCCUUGUCGGGUAAGUUCCGACCCGCACGAAAGGCGUAACGAUUUGGGCACUGUCUCAACAACAGACUCGGUGAAAUUGUAAUUCCGGUGAAGAUGCCGGAUACCUGCGACAGGACGGAAAGACCCCAUGGAGCUUUACUGUAGCUUGACAUUGGGUCUUGGUACUACAUGUACAGGAUAGGUGGGAGGCUUUGAAACCAGGACGCCAGUUUUGGCGGAGCCAUCCUUGGGAUACCACCCUUGUAGUACUGGGACUCUAACCAUAGGCCAUGAAUCUGGUCUUGGGACACUGUCAGGUGGGCNAGCUUCCCAUACGGGUUGAAGCAUGACCGUAAGGACAUGUGGACAGUAUGGGAGUGAGAAUGUUGGCAUGAGUAGCGAGAUGUGGGUGAGAAUCCCACAGGCCGUAAACCCAAGGUUUCCAGGGGAAGGUUCGUCCGCCCUGGGUUAGUCGGGACCUAAGCUGAGGCCGAAAGGCGUAGGUGAUGGACAACAGGUUGAUAUUCCUGUACUACCGAUAACCGUUUGAGAGAAGGGAUGACACAGUAGGAUAAGCUAAGCACACUGUUGGUUAUGUGUGCCCAAGCAUUGAGGCAGUCAAAGUAGGCAAAUCCGCUUUGAUAAUGCUGGGAUGUGAUGGGGAGCGAAAUUUAGUAGCGAAGUAGCUGAUUUCACACUGUCAAGAAAAGUCUCUAUCGAGGUUAAAGGUACCCGUACCGCAAACCGACACAGGUGGGUGAGGAGAGUAUCCUAAGGCCAGCGAGAGAACUGUUGUUAAGGAACUCGGCAAAAUGACCCCGUAACUUAGGGAUAAGGGGUGCCACCAUCAGGUGGCCGCAGAGAAUAGGCCCAAGCGACUGUUUACCAAAAACAUAGGUUUCUGCUAAGUCGCAAGACGAUGUAUAGGAGCUGACGCCUGCCCGGUGCUGGAAGGUUAAGGGGAUCUGUUAGAGCAAUCGAAGCAGUGAACUUAAGCCCCAGUAAACGGCGGCCGUAACUAUAACGGUCCUAAGGUAGCGAAAUUCCUUGUCGGGUAAGUUCCGACCCGCACGAAAGGCGUAACGAUUUGGGCACUGUCUCAACAACAGACUCGGUGAAAUUGUAAUUCCGGUGAAGAUGCCGGAUACCUGCGACAGGACGGAAAGACCCCAUGGAGCUUUACUGUAGCUUGACAUUGGGUCUUGGUACUACAUGUACAGGAUAGGUGGGAGGCUUUGAAACCAGGACGCCAGUUUUGGCGGAGCCAUCCUUGGGAUACCACCCUUGUAGUACUGGGACUCUAACCAUAGGCCAUGAAUCUGGUCUUGGGACACUGUCAGGUGGGCAGUUUGACUGGGGCGGUCGCCUCCCAAAAGGUAACGGAGGCGCUCAAAGGUUCUCUCAGUACGGUCGGAAAUCGUACGUAGAGUGUAAAGGCAAAAGAGAGCUUGAUUGCAAGACAUACAGGUCGAGCAAGGAUGAAAAUCGGACUUAGUGAUCCGGUGGUUCUGCGUGGAAGGGCCAUCGCUCAACGGAUAAAAGCUACCCUGGGGAUAACAGGCUUAUCUCCCCCAAGAGUCCACAUCGACGGGGAGGUUUGGCACCUCGAUGUCGGCUCAUCACAUCCUGGGGCUGUAGUAGGUCCCAAGGGUUGGGCUGUUCGCCCAUUAAAGUGGUACGCGAGCUGGGUUCAGAACGUCGUGAGACAGUUCGGUCCCUAUCCGUCGCAGGCGUAGGAAAUUUGAGAAGACCUGUCCUUAGUACGAGAGGACCGGGAUGGACGUACCUCUGGUGUACCAGUUGUCCUGCCAAGGGCAUGGCUGGGUAGCUAUGUACGGAAUGGAUAAGCGCUGAAAGCAUCUAAGCGCGAAGCCAACUUCAAGAUAAGAUUUCCCACCGCAAGGGUAAGACCCCAGAAAGACUAUCUGGUUGAUAGGUCGAAGGUGUAAGUGCAGCAAUGUAUUUAGCUUAUCGAUACUAAUAGGUCGAGGACUUGACCAA